Molecule: ribosomal RNA, 252 nt
Filed under: uncultured bacterium
Lineage: Bacteria
Description: partial 16S ribosomal RNA
Rfam family: Bacterial small subunit ribosomal RNA
Source: RNAcentral
UACAGAGGGUGCAAGCGUUGUUCGGAAUUACUGGGCGUAAAGGGUUCGUAGGUGGCCAACUAAGUCAGACGUGAAAUCCCUCAGCUUAACUGGGGAACUGCGUCUGAUACUGGUUGGCUUGAGUGCAGGAGAGGAACGCGGAAUUCCAGGUGUAGCGGUGAAAUGCGUAGAUAUCUGGAGAACACCGGUGGCGAAGGCGGCGUUCUGGACUGCAACUGACACUGAGGAACGAAAGCCAGGGGAGCAAACGGG